This is a long non-coding RNA of Homo sapiens (human), 1999 nucleotides long. RefSeq lists it as uncharacterized. The transcript is spliced from 3 exons. The record is from RefSeq and is a predicted model, not a curated record. Lineage: Eukaryota; Metazoa; Chordata; Mammalia; Primates; Hominidae.
ACAGAGCAGAGCUGCCAGAAGCUGAGGAGCGGACGCAGCAAUGAGAAACUCAGCCCAAUCAUGUGGCCGACUGCAGUCUGGAAGACUUCCUGGGUGUGGAGUUUCUCUGAGUUUCUCAGAAAGGCAGAGGGAAGAUUUUUGUCAGUAGAAGGCACAUGGAAAGUCAGUCAUGUUAGUGAUCUUUCCUCCUCUGGCAGCUCCAGAGCCAGCUCCAGUUCAAGCUCAAAAGCCACCUUCAGAGUGUGUGUCAGGGCUAGGUCCACCACCAGCUCCAGCUGCAGCCUUAACCAGCCGCUCUAGGGAAAUCUGCAGAGCUGGAAGCAAGAGCAGCAACCACCGUAGCACCAGCUCCCGAGCUCCUUUGCAAGCUCCAUCAACAGCUCCAGCUCCAGGGCUAAGGCAGUCCCAGCAAGAGCACCAGAUCCAGCCAUGCAGCCACUGCAGGCUCUGGCCCCAACUCCAGCUCCAGAGCCCAAGCCAGUUCCAGCUCCAGGUCUUGAGACAACAACAGAACCUGCUGCUGUUUUGUUAUAACCAUCCUGACUGUUCCUAUGAAGGAUCCUUCUGCCUUUUCAUAACCUGUGUGCUGUUGUUUAAUUCUCAUGGAGAAUGACAAGUUCCACUAAAAUAUGCACAUGGCAUCUCCAAGAAACAGAAGCAAGAAUUAAAGUGAAGGGGUGGUAGGCAAAAAAGGCCAAGAAUGACCAUGAUUAGACCAAGGAACUUCCACUUCCAAGCCGUAGCUGGCUGCAUCCUCUUCAUGACUCUUGGGAAAAUAUUUUCUGUGGAGUCUAAAAGAAACAAAAAUACACCUGAAAAGAAAAAAAGGUAAGCAUUCCUUACAAAAGAGAAAAUUUCCCUUCCAUGUUAUGUGUCUACAGACAAAUAUUUUUCUUCACAUGCACUUUUGGAGUAAGGACUAUAUGCGUAGCUAUAGUUUACACCUGUAUAUACUCAGGAAGUAUUUGGAUUAUGAUGGUAUGAUGAUAGUUGUUAAAGAAAGUUCUUUUGCAUGUGAAAAAGAAAGGGAAGACAAGGCAAACAGCAGUCUGUUCAGCAUUAUCCUUUCAAUGAAUUCUACCCUUUUAUACAAUAAAAAGCUGUGGCUGUAUUAUAGGCCCUGGGUUAAAUAAAAGCAAACCACACUCUUUGUUCAAUAAUAGUUUUAUUUACUUAUUUCACUGUUAACUUGGGGAUAAUAUUCACCACAAAGUUGCAGGCAUCAUUUUAUAGUACAGACUACAGACGAUUGACUUUUUCAAGAUUAAAAAUGAACAUGGUUUGUGACACACCUGAAAUGCCUACUGAGGAAGUGCUGGCCACGAGGUAAUAAAAAAAGGUAAAAUUCAGUGCCUUUGGCAAAGAUGUGGACACUGUUUUAGAUGCGAGUAUGAUACAUGCCCUUUGCUUACAAAGCAAAUAUACACCCAUCUGUUUUUGGACUGCGGUUUCUCUAUCCACCAGAGAGCAUCUUUAAAUGAUUCACAGACAUUUCCCUGAGAGCUUCCUGCCAAGAGAAAUCAGCAUGCUGAUUCACCAUCGUGGAAGCCCAUUUUUAUGUAAUUAUUCCUCAAGCCUGCACCAAACUUGGUAACAGUUCCUAUAUUUAAAAGAAAGAAGGGCUUUGCCCAAACUGUGGCCAUCACAUAGCUCUAAGCAGACGCCCAGAGGAAGUUUGAAGUGUUACAUGUAGGAGGCUGGAAAUGCCCAUGUACUGGAUGAGGAAUGGCUAGAAGGGAGAUCAUGUGUUUGAUUGCUUGCAGAACAGGAUAAAGGAUUGUCUCCUAAUAACUUUCCACGCCAAGCAAAACUACAUGCAAGGAUUUUUAAGCCAAACUACAGAUCUUCACUUGCACAGAAAACUAUGUUUAUGAACUCUCCAGGCCCUCCAGAUACUUCUUUUACUAAGGCAAGUAACCGAGAAGCCUGUUCCAAAAGAAUUAUCCCUUCCAUGAAUUCUACUGUUUUAUACAAUAAAAAGUUUGUCUUUGUUGACCAA